GAUGAACGCUGGCGGCGUGCCUAAUACAUGCAAGUCGAGCGAACGGACGAGAAGCUUGCUUCUCUGAUGUUAGCGGCGGACGGGUGAGUAACACGUGGAUAACCUACCUAUAAGACUGGGAUAACUUCGGGAAACCGGAGCUAAUACCGGAUAAUAUUUUGAACCGCAUGGUUCAAAAGUGAAAGACGGUCUUGCUGUCACUUAUAGAUGGAUCCGCGCUGCAUUAGCUAGUUGGUAAGGUAACGGCUUACCAAGGCAACGAUGCAUAGCCGACCUGAGAGGGUGAUCGGCCACACGGGAACUGAGACACGGCCGAGACUCUUACGGGAGGCAGCAGUGGGGAAUCUUCCGCAAGGGGCGAAAGCCUGACGGAGCAACGCCGCGUGAGUGAUGAAGGUCUUCGGAUCGUAAAACUCUGUUAUUAGGGAAGAACAAAUGUGUAAGUAAAUAUGCACUUCUUGACGGUACCUAAUCAGAAAGCCACGGCUAACUACGUG
This 497-nucleotide ribosomal RNA is filed under the name uncultured bacterium. RNAcentral's name for it is "partial 16S ribosomal RNA". It matches the Rfam family "Bacterial small subunit ribosomal RNA", at positions 28 to 507 of the family's 1533-position model. The record is from RNAcentral.